CACACUGCCGAGAAAAGCCUCUAGAUAGAAAAUAGGUGCCCGUACCGCAAACCGACACAGGUAGUCAAGAUGAGAAUUCUAAGGUGAGCGAGCGAACUCUCGUUAAGGAACUCGGCAAAAUGACCCCGUAACUUCGGGAGAAGGGGUGCUCUUUAGGGUUAACGCCCAGAAGAGCCGCAGUGAAUAGGCCCAAGCGACUGUUUAUCAAAAACACAGGUCUCUGCUAAACCGUAAGGUGAUGUAUAGGGGCUGACGCCUGCCCGGUGCUGGAAGGUUAAGAGGAGUGGUUAGCUUCUGCGAAGCUACGAAUCGAAGCCCCAGUAAACGGCGGCCGUAACUAUAACGGUCCUAAGGUAGCGAAAUUCCUUGUCGGGUAAGUUCCGACCCGCACGAAAGGCGUAACGAUUUGGGCACUGUCUCAACGAGAGACUCGGUGAAAUCAUAGUACCUGUGAAGAUGCAGGUUACCCGCGACAGGACGGAAAGACCCCGUGGAGCUUUACUGUAGCCUGAUAUUGAAAUUCGGCACAGCUUGUACAGGAUAGGUAGGAGCCUUUGAAACGUGAGCGCUAGCUUACGUGGAGGCGCUGGUGGGAUACUACCCUAGCUGUGUUGGCUUUCUAACCCGCACCACUUAUCGUGGUGGGAGACAGUGUCAGGCGGGCAGUUUGACUGGGGCGGUCGCCUCCUAAAAGGUAACGGAGGCGCUCAAAGGUUCCCUCAGAAUGGUUGGAAAUCAUUCAUAGAGUGUAAAGGCAUAAGGGAGCUUGACUGCGAGACCUACAAGUCGAGCAGGGUCGAAAGACGGACUUAGUGAUCCGGUGGUUCCGCAUGGAAGGGCCAUCGCUCAACGGAUAAAAGCUACCCCGGGGAUAACAGGCUUAUCUCCCCCAAGAGUUCACAUCGACGGGGAGGUUUGGCACCUCGAUGUCGGCUCAUCGCAUCCUGGGGCUGUAGUCGGUCCCAAGGGUUGGGCUGUUCGCCCAUUAAAGCGGUACGCGAGCUGGGUUCAGAACGUCGUGAGACAGUUCGGUCCCUAUCCGUCGUGGGCGUAGGAAAUUUGAGAGGAGCUGUCCUUAGUACGAGAGGACCGGGAUGGACAUACCUCUGGUGUACCAGUUGUCGUGCCAACGGCAUAGCUGGGUAGCUAUGUGUGGACGGGAUAAGUGCUGAAAGCAUCUAAGCAUGUAGCCCCCCUCAAGAUGAGAUUUCCCAACUUCGGUUAUAAGAUCCCUCAAAGAUGAUGAGGUUAAUAGGUUCGAGGUGGAAGCAUGGUGACAUGUGGAGCUGACGAAUACUAAUCGAUCGAAGACUUAAUCAA
Molecule: ribosomal RNA, 1320 nt
Filed under: Staphylococcus aureus
Lineage: Bacteria; Bacillati; Bacillota; Bacilli; Caryophanales; Staphylococcaceae
Description: partial 23S ribosomal RNA
Rfam family: Bacterial large subunit ribosomal RNA
Source: RNAcentral